This is a long non-coding RNA of Fundulus heteroclitus (mummichog), 364 nucleotides long. RefSeq lists it as uncharacterized. The record is from RefSeq and is a predicted model, not a curated record. The transcript is spliced from 3 exons. Lineage: Eukaryota; Metazoa; Chordata; Actinopteri; Cyprinodontiformes; Fundulidae.
UCCUGAGCAAUGCCACGCCCUCUGGUUCCUGUAAAAGCCAGAAACAGAAACUAACAGACAGUACAACUCUGCUGAUCCUGAAUACAUCAAGAUGAGUGCGAUCUACAACCUGCUUGCUAAACACCGACUGGAAACUUACUACGAAAAGUUUCGACAGUUAGGUGUGAACGAUGAAAGGGAUUUCAGUGAUGGUGUCACAGAAGAAGACCUAACUAACCUUGGACUAACACAAGUGGAAAAGAAUCGUUUUGCUUCAUUGAAGAAGGAGGUUUCCAGAUUCAGAGCACCAUCCCAAUCUGUUCCAUCAGUAGAGAAGUCAUUUAAAGCAUUCUCUCUGAUGUACACAUACCCCAAGUGUCCUGAA